UACGAAGGUGGCAAGCGUUGUUCGGAUUUACUGGGCUUAAAGGGUGCGUAGGUGGGUAGGAAAGUCAGUGGUGAAAUCUUCGGGCUUAACCCGGAAACUGCCAUUGAUACUAUUUAUCUUGAAUACUUUGGAGGUAAGCGGAAUAUGUCAUGUAGCGGUGAAAUGCUUAGAUAUCACAUAGAACACCAGUUGCGAAGGCAGCUUACUACACAGUUAUUGACACUGAGGCACGAAAGCGUGGGGAUCAAACAGG
Molecule: ribosomal RNA, 253 nt
Filed under: uncultured bacterium
Lineage: Bacteria
Description: partial 16S ribosomal RNA
Rfam family: Bacterial small subunit ribosomal RNA
Source: RNAcentral